GAUGAACGCUGGCGGCGUGCCUAAUACAUGCAAGUCGAGCGAACAGAUGAGGAGCUUGCUCCUCUGACGUUAGCGGCGGAUGGGUGAGUAACACGUGGAUAACCUACCUAUAAGACUGGGAUAACUUCGGGAAACCGGAGCCAAUACCGGAUAAUAUAUUGAACCGCAUGGUUCAAUAGUGAAAGACGGUUUUGCUGCUACUUAUAGAUGGAUCCGCGCCGCAUUAGCUAGUUGGUAAGGUAACGGCUUACCAAGGCAACGAUGCGUAGCCGACCUGAGAGGGUGAUCGGCCACACUGGAACUGAGACACGGUCCCGACUCCUACGGGAGGCAGAAGUAGGGGAGCUUCCGCAAUGGGCGAAAGCCGGACGGAGCAACGGCGCGUGAGUGAUGAAGGUCUUCGGAUCGUAAAACUCUGUUAUUAGGGAAGAACAAAUGUGUAAGUAACUAUGCACGUCUUGACGGUACCUAAUCAGAAAGCCACGGCUAACUACGUG
RNAcentral lists this ribosomal RNA (497 nucleotides) under uncultured bacterium. RNAcentral's name for it is "partial 16S ribosomal RNA". It matches the Rfam family "Bacterial small subunit ribosomal RNA", at positions 28 to 507 of the family's 1533-position model. The record is from RNAcentral.